This 750-nucleotide ribosomal RNA is filed under the name Marinobacter sp. RNAcentral's name for it is "bacterial SSU rRNA". It matches the Rfam family "Bacterial small subunit ribosomal RNA", at positions 39 to 786 of the family's 1533-position model. Lineage: Bacteria; Pseudomonadati; Pseudomonadota; Gammaproteobacteria; Pseudomonadales; Marinobacteraceae. The record is from RNAcentral.
GCGCUGGGCAGCUACCAUGCAGUCGAGCGGUAUCAGGGGUAGCUUGCUACCCGCUGACGAGCGGCGGACGGGUGAGUAAUGCAUAGGAAACUGCCCCCCAUGGGGGGAUAGCCCGGGGAAACCCGGAUUAUUACCGCCUACUGCCUUCGGGAGAAAGCAGGGGAUCUUCGGACCUUGCGCUAUUGGAUGUGCCUAUGUCGGAUUACCUGGUUGGUGAGGUAAUGGCUCACCCCGGCGACGAUCCGAUGGUGGUCUGAGAGGAUGAUCAGCCACCUCGGGACUGAGACACGGCCCGAACUCCUACGGGAGGCAGCAGUGGGGAAUAUUGGACAAUGGGGGCAACCCUGAUCCAGCCAUGCCGCGUGUGUGAAGAAGGCUUUCGGGUUGUAAAGCACUUUCAGUGAGGAGGAAAAGUUAAUCCUUAAUACGGGCUAGCCUUGACGUUACUCACAGAAUAAGCACCGGCUAACUCCGUGCCAGCAGCCGCGGUAAUACGGAGGGUGCAAGCGUUAAUCGGAAUUACUGGGCGUAAAGCGCGCGUAGGUGGUUUGAUAAGCGAGAUGUGAAAGCCCCGGGCUUAACCUGGGAACGGCAUUUCGAACUGUCAGGCUAGAGUGUGGUGAGGGUAGUGGAAUUUCCUGUGUAGCGGUGAAUGCGUAGAUAUAGGAAGGAACACCAUGGCGAAGGCGGCUACCUGGACCGCACUGACACUGAUGUGCGAAAGCGUGGGGAGCAAACAGGAUUAGUCCC